GGUGGCUCAGGGGUAGAGUGCUUGCCUGGCAUGCAUGAGGCCCUGGGUUUGAUCCUCAGCACCU
This 64-nucleotide transfer RNA is filed under the name Dipodomys ordii (Ord's kangaroo rat). It matches the Rfam family "tRNA". From Rfam's summary of the family: Transfer RNA (tRNA) molecules are approximately 80 nucleotides in length. Their secondary structure includes four short double-helical elements and three loops (D, anti-codon, and T loops). The record is from Rfam by way of RNAcentral. Lineage: Eukaryota; Metazoa; Chordata; Mammalia; Rodentia; Heteromyidae.